UCUACGGGAGGCAGCAGUGGGGAAUAUUGGGCAAUGGCCGAAAGGCUGACCCAGCAACGCCGCGUGGUGGAUGAAGCCCUUCGGGGUGUAAACACCUUUUCUGGGGGAAGAUAAUGACGUA
Molecule: ribosomal RNA, 121 nt
Filed under: uncultured Sulfurihydrogenibium sp.
Lineage: Bacteria; Pseudomonadati; Aquificota; Aquificia; Aquificales; Hydrogenothermaceae
Description: partial 16S ribosomal RNA
Rfam family: Bacterial small subunit ribosomal RNA
Source: RNAcentral